GCGGAAAUAAUCCGCGGUAAUUAGUCAUGACAGUCGAACGGUGAAGCCAAGCUUGCUUGGUGGAUCAGUGGCGAACGGGUGAGUAACACGUGAGCAACCUGCCCUGGACUCUGGGAUAAGCGCUGGAAACGGCGUCUAAUACUGGAUAUGAGACGUGAUCGCAUGGUCGUGUUUGGAAAGAUUUUUCGGUCUGGGAUGGGCUCGCGGCCUAUCAGCUUGUUGGUGAGGUAAUGGCUCACCAAGGCGUCGACGGGUAGCCGGCCUGAGAGGGUGACCGGCCACACUGGGACUGAGACACGGCCCAGACUCCUACGGGAGGCAGCAGUGGGGAAUAUUGCACAAUGGGCGGAAGCCUGAUGCAGC
RNAcentral lists this ribosomal RNA (363 nucleotides) under Microbacterium sp. EA_R_89. RNAcentral's name for it is "bacterial SSU rRNA". It matches the Rfam family "Bacterial small subunit ribosomal RNA", at positions 47 to 391 of the family's 1533-position model. Lineage: Bacteria; Bacillati; Actinomycetota; Actinomycetes; Micrococcales; Microbacteriaceae. The record is from RNAcentral.